Molecule: long non-coding RNA, 1058 nt
Organism: Hibiscus syriacus
Lineage: Eukaryota; Viridiplantae; Streptophyta; Magnoliopsida; Malvales; Malvaceae
Exons: 2
Source: RefSeq, a predicted model, not a curated record
AUUGUAUUAAAAUCACUUGGAGUUGCAACCUUAACCAUACUCCUUUUCUUUUGUCAAUUGCUGCCAUGUUAUUCAAUGAGCUUGCAGUUUGGAGAGACUAAAUACUUAUUCUUCAUCAGCUCUUUUUGCUAAUGCCACAUAUACUGCUUUUACUGCUAGUAAAUUUUAGUUUUUAUAUCAAAUUGUAGUUGAACAUGGGGUCUUUUUCUUUUCCAUUUUGUAUCAAAUAGUUCUUCAAGUAAAGGAGAUCCAGGUAAUGAAGUCUCAUGGUUGACCCUUUGGAAGCAAAACGGUUAGCCGCCAAGCAAAUGGAACAAAUUAAGGCUAAAGAGAAAAUAAAGGUAAAAAGGGUUUUAUUUUAAUGAAAAUCUAGCUUAUUUUUUAUUGUAUAUCAUAUGGUGCCACUAAGAAACCGGGGCGUGCAAUUGCCUGUUGAAUUUCUAAUAGAAGCUUUUAAAUUGAACAAAAUUUUCUAGAACCUCUGUUAUCCUUUCAUUUUCCCACUUGCACAUGUGGUUCUUCCGAAGUCAACUCUUUCCAAGUGUGGUAUUCUAUCCAAGUUACUACUUAGGCCCCUUCUGUUUUUUCUUGUUCUUCUCAUUGGUUUGCUCGAGGUGUGCCAGCAAGGCGGCACGUAUUUUGUUUUUACAAGUCUUUUAUGGUAAGAGUAGAUGGCGUAGUCAUAGGGCAUGAUUUUUGCAUCAAAUGUUUUUUUAAAGGUGUUUCCUUGAACAUUCUUGUUAAUCGAGGCGAUUAAUGGGGCGUGGGCAAUGAUUGGUCUCACAGCAGGCUAGUUAUUGAAGGACAAACAGGAAAAAGUAUUCUCGAGCAGUUGGCGGGGUAUGUGUCCGCGAUCAUCCACAUUUUGUGCGAUAGGCUUGGACAAUUUGGGCAAAGCAAAGGUCAUUCUUGAAAACUAUUUUUCAUAUCAACAGUUCUUUCAUCAUAUUAUAUUGACUUCAUAAGUUUUUAUUUGUAUGUCCUCCUGCUUUUCACGAACCUGUCAACAAACUGUAAUCAUUCUUUAUAUAGCAAAUGACAUCAUUACUGGUUCGAAA